RNAcentral lists this ribosomal RNA (440 nucleotides) under uncultured bacterium. RNAcentral's name for it is "partial 16S ribosomal RNA". It matches the Rfam family "Bacterial small subunit ribosomal RNA", at positions 338 to 795 of the family's 1533-position model. The record is from RNAcentral.
CCUACGGGUGACAGCAGUGGGGAAUAUUGCACAAUGGGGGAAACCCUGAUGCAGCGACGCCGCGUGAGUGAAGAAGUAUUUCGGUACGUAAAGCUCUAUCAGCAGGGAAGAAAAUGACGGUACCUGACUAAGAAGCCCCGGCUAACUACGUGCCAGCAGCCGCGGUAAUACGUAGGGGGCAAGCGUUAUCCGGAUUUACUGGGUGUAAAGGGAGCGUAGACGGCAGCGCAAGUCUGGAGUGAAAUCCCAUGGCUUAACCAUGGAACUGCUUUGGAAACUGUGCAGCUAGAGUGCAGGAGAGGUAAGCGGAAUGCCUAGUGUAGCGGUGAAAUGCGUAGAUAUUAGGAGGAACACCAGUGGCGAAGGCGGCUUACUGGACUGUAACUGACGUUGAGGCUCGAAAGCGUGGGGAGCAAACAGGAUUAGAUACCCGAGUAGUC